This 2989-nucleotide small RNA is filed under the name Histoplasma capsulatum var. duboisii H88. RNAcentral's name for it is "Histoplasma capsulatum H88 hypothetical RNA". The record is from RNAcentral. Lineage: Eukaryota; Fungi; Ascomycota; Eurotiomycetes; Onygenales; Ajellomycetaceae.
CGCUGAUACAAAGAUCGAAUUGAUCCAUUUCUACAUUGAAUACUGCCAUAAGAUACGUUUAAAUAGCAAUGGCCAACACCCAGGUUAUUCCUGAAGGCGGUACCUGGUUUGAUACUCUCACGAGGGGCUUUGAUGCCGUCCCUGUCGCCGACGAUAACGCGAUUUCAACCUCCGAGUUCCUCGAAGCCGCUGAGUCUUUGACUACGCUCUUUGAUCUCCUGGGUUCAGUUGCCUUUACUCCAGUGAAAAAUGACCUUCUGGGCAACAUCAAGAAAAUCAGAGAUAGACAGCUUGCGGCACCGCAGAAUCAGAAACUCUGCAAGCCCUCGUUCUCAAUGAAAUAAAAGCUAAAAAGAACACUGCCAGUGUUGGUUUCCUUUGGCUUGUCCGGGGUCUUGACUUCACUGCCAAAGCCCUUCGCCAUAAUAUAUCCUUUCCUAAUGACGAAUUAUCCACUUCAUUCCGUGCAGCUUACGGUGACACCCUGAAACCACACCACAAUUUCCUCGUGAAACCUAUUUUUGUCGCCGCCAUGGGAGCAACCCCUUAUCGCAAGGAUUUCUAUGCUAAACUGGGAAAUGAUCCUGCCAAGUGCCAGGCAGCUCUGGAGCUGUCUACAGCUUCGUUGGAGAAAAUAGUGUCCAUCCUUAAGGAAUUCCUAGAGACACCAGAGGUGAAGAAAGCGUGUUCAUAGUAGUGUUGGAUAGGUUAAUAUCCUCCCAUUUGUCUGGUUUUCUAUCUUUCUCAUUGUUUGAGAUAUGGGCACGAUUUCAUUUGGUCGCCAGACCAAACAAAGUCUAGAUUUCCACAACAGAUAUUCGAUUAUAUGAUAUCCUAUCCAUUGCGUUGUAGUAUGAAGUGUCAUCCAACAUCCAACAUUGAAGAUAAAGCCCCAACAGAGGUGUUUUGCUAAAGAACCAUGUGAAAUUCUGUACAUACAUGCCUAUACACUGAUGGAAUUAAUAAAGUAAGACCAAUGAACUGAUUUAAUUAUAGUCAAUUUUGUCAUCACAAUGCAUAGUUUUGUUCCUGGGGCUUUAAGCCAGACAGACAUUUUGAAGCCUAUCCACCAUUGCUUCCUAGAGUAGACAAAAAAAAAAAGGAAAAGAAAAUUGAACAGGAACACAUGCAAAAAUGAAGAGAUAUGAUACCAUACUCCUUACCAUUAUACUAAAUCAAACGGGCUAUUUUAAUUCUAACAAGCCAAAAUGAAAAGAAAAGUAAUAAUCAUUGAUAAACUUAGGAAUUAAGAUGGAAAAUGUUUCCAAUCCCCUCACGCCCAAAGAUAUCGCACGGAGAACAUCUCUAUAAAGAUCAAACCUUCCUCUUCGAUUCUUUCUCAUUCUCCUCCGCCACUGCUUCUUUCCUUUUCCUCUCCUCUUCCCAUGCCAACUGAUCGGGCCUCCGCACCGCAAUAUCCUUAGGCCUGUAAUCGCUAAAAUACGUCUUCAAGAUAUUCUCGAUGAGCCAGCAACCGGCGUAAUCCGCCAGCAUCAGUGCUGUUAAGGUGACCUUAAACAUGGUCGUAAAUGGAACAAGGCGGAGCUUCUCGUUGAGUUCCGGAAUGAACUCCGUCGCGCAGGAGAAGGCGACGCCGGAUGUCAGGAUGAGACCCCAGUACAUACCACGGUUUUCACGGAUAGAUUCGCGGAACGGACGGCCUUGGUAAUUUAUGGAGAAGGUGGAGAUUUGCUGAAUUAGUUGGAGGAGGUAGAUGGCACUGUUGAGGAGGGAGGGUUCAAAUUCGCCUUCUAGGUCGAUGACUUCUUUUUUAGGCUCUAUGGUAUAGACGUAGUUGGAUAGAUAUAUCAAGGUUGCGACGUGGACCGCGAAUUGGCCCAGGACGGACCCCAUGAUGUACAUGUUGAAUAUGUUAGGUUGUGGACGCUCUUUGGAAAGACCUUCGACAGACUUCGCACGAGAAAUUGACAAAAAGCAAACGCUCAUUAGUAUGCCGCUGAUAGUUGCCUGACCAUCACCAAAUCUAAUGCCGUCAAGGUAUAUGACACUUAAACUGUACGCACUGAUUAAGCAGUUAAGCGCAAGGAUCUUAUACAUCUGGAUAGUUGCAACCAGCGUGCAUCGGCCUUGACGGAUAAUAUUGGGGAUUGCAAUAACGUUUGCAAGUUUGCUGGUGAAAGGAGCGGCAACCGAAGCAUCUCCAAGCUUGAUCGUGGGGGGUUCGUUGUCAUCUAAUUCUUGUUCCAUCAUCGUGGCCGUCAGCUUAUCGGCAAAACCGGCUGCAGCAAGCGACGCCUGGCGUUGCUGGAGUUGCUGAGGCGUUAGGUUCAUGGUCGAUUGCUGUAUGGCAUGUGCACCUGGAGAGGUGACGGUUGGGAUUCCAUUUCCUUCAACGGCGGCGGGGGCAGUGAUGCCUUUCCUUUGUGCCUCACGAAUCAAUGCUUUUUCGUAGUGAGGGUUGUUUGGUCCAGGAGGAUAUAGAUGCGCAAUGUUUGCCGGAAUUGGGGGGGCGGGUUGAUUAAAUCUUUGCAUCAACGAGACUUGCUUCUCGUAGAUCUCUUUCAUCUUGGUGUUCCUCCAAUGCUCUGCGAUUUUAUUGAGAUCAUCCUGAGAGCCGUUCAACAGGGCGACACCAACAUGAGCUUGUUUGAGUGCACCAACAUCAUUAGUGCCAUCGCCGCACAUGAGAGUCGUAUAUCCAGCAUCCUUCAUACCCAGAAGAAUGUCUUCCUUCUGCUUCGGGGAGACACGAGCAUACACCCAGGUAUGGCGGAGAAGAUCGGGGAGAGCCUUUUUGUUUUUGAACUUUGUCAACGCGUAGCCUGUAACGCAAAGAUCCUUGGUUUCCAGAAUUUCACGGUCCAAAGGUUGCGUGGGAUCAACAUCAACACUGAAAGAAUCGUCGAUAGUUCGCCAUACGAGUUUUGUUCCAGAGUUGUCGUUCUCUGGUGCAUCAAGGAUUAGCACUUCUCUAUCAACUAUUUCUACCUGUCGAGCAACAUGAGCUGCUGUGAGAGGGUUAUCGCCG